Poecilia latipinna (sailfin molly) is the source of this 1440-nucleotide long non-coding RNA. RefSeq lists it as uncharacterized. The transcript is spliced from 3 exons. The record is from RefSeq and is a predicted model, not a curated record. Lineage: Eukaryota; Metazoa; Chordata; Actinopteri; Cyprinodontiformes; Poeciliidae.
UUUUUGCGGGUAAUCCAUAUGUUGCAUCAUGUGUCAGAAUUGACAUUCUGUCAUGUUCAUAAAGAAUUACUCUAUUAGAAUAGACAACUAGAAUUUGGCUUUUAUAGCAAAAAAAAAAAAAAAAAAAAUUAAAAAUCCAAUUUGAAUUAUUUGCCGUAACACAUAAUAAUGAGGACUUACUUCUUUGGUUUUCUUGUUCCAGAUGAUCGAUCAUCUGGAUUCCAGAUCCUUCAUAUAUUGAAUAUCCUGGGCAUCAUAUUGCUCUCCAUUAGCAUCAUCAGCUUUGAGUGCUGGUUGAGAUUCUCCAAGAAACCAAAGAAGGAACCAGAAGAACCAACCUAUGUCAACAAUGUGAUGGCGACUACAGCAUCAUGAACCACAAAGAAACGAAGAAGAUGUCAAAGUCUCUGUCAGAAAGACGAUUUAUUUCUAUCCAAUUGUUCAAGUUUGUGUGUCAAGAAGCCAUUUUCUAUCUGCAAAGACCAGCCGGUGAAAAGCUGGAUUCACUGUGGACGCGUCACCAGUUCAUCACAUCCCCAUUCAUUGUGCUUUAGAAAUCACUUAUUAUUUCUUGAUAGUUUUUUUCUGCAAUUCACUGUGGUACUAAUGGAGAACGCUAAUGCUUUGGUGGAUUGCUGUGUCAAAAAAGAGGUCUCUUUCUAUUUCAGGUGUAAAACAUGCAAUGUUAAAUAUGAUAAUUAUAACAAUAAUACGUAUAUAUACUUUUGUAAAACAAGUAUGAACUGGAUGUCAGAAACAUUUGUUAUUAAUAUGCCAUAUUAUCCCAAAUUGAGGAGAUCAAACUAAGAUUUUAAAGGUCAAAACAUAUUUGCUUGAAUGAAAACAUUAGAGCAGGAUCUUUUUUAAUGUUAAUGUUUGGAAGUUGCAAUAGCCAACAGGUCUGGACACAUUUAUUUAUAUAUAUGGCAGAUAUACAAAACAAACAAAUAAAAACACAGAUAAUAAAUUUAUUGGUAUAUAACAUGCAAAGUAAAACAUACUCCUGACGUUUAACUUCAAAAUAUAGUUUUGUUUUAAAUCAUUUUGACCUAAAUGCUUUCAUGGUGAAUAUUACAAUCAGAACCUCACUGUUUUAAUAUGCUUUGUUUUUCAUAUUUUCAUAUCUUUUAUUGUUAUUAGUCACAAAUAACACCACACAUAAGUUGCACAGAUUUGAAGUCAGCUCAGCUAUGUGGACACACGUAUCAAAAGCUCCUUCUUACCUCGCUGUUUUUUUUUUUAAAUCAUAUUUGAGUGGAAAUCUAAACCUACUUCUUAAAAAAAACAAUAUGUGCACACAGGACUGUUCGCAGUAAAAAUAAGUGCAAAGGGAAGUCAGGGAAACAUAUACUCUUUAUUUUUAUACACUUUGUUCUCUGCCAAGCAAGUAAUGCUUCAGAUGUAGUUAAAUAUCUGCCUGUUUCAAAUAAAGGCGUUGGU